CGGCACACGCGUACACUGCGGUUGCUCCGCGCCGUCGCAUCCGCCUGACGAUCGCUGGCUACGUGUUGAGAGCC
Molecule: small RNA, 74 nt
Filed under: Xanthomonas vasicola
Lineage: Bacteria; Pseudomonadati; Pseudomonadota; Gammaproteobacteria; Lysobacterales; Lysobacteraceae
Also listed under: 9 other names
Description: sX9
Source: RNAcentral